This 836-nucleotide ribosomal RNA is filed under the name uncultured bacterium. RNAcentral describes it as "bacterial SSU rRNA". It matches the Rfam family "Bacterial small subunit ribosomal RNA", at positions 98 to 964 of the family's 1533-position model. The record is from RNAcentral.
GCGGACGGCUGAGUAACGCGUGGGAACGUACCCCAAAGUGAGGAAUAACCGCUCGAAAGGGUGGCUAAUGCCGCAUAUGGUCUUCGGAUUAAAGGAUUUAUCCGCUUUGGGAACGGCCUGCGUACGAUUAGAUAGUUGGUGAGGUAAAGGCUCACCAAGUCUACGAUCGUUAACUGGUCUGAGAGGAUGAUCAGUCAGACUGGAACUGAGACACGGUCCAGACUCCUACGGGAGGCAGCAGUGAGGAAUCUUCCACAAUGGGCGAAAGCCUGAUGGAGCAACGCCGCGUGCAGGAUGAAGGCCUUCGGGUCGUAAACUGCUUUUAUAAGUGAAGAAUAUGACGGUAACUUAUGAAUAAGCACCGGCUAACUACGUGCCAGCAGCCGCGGUCAUACGUAGGGUGCAAGCAUUAUCCGGAGUGACUGGGCGUAAAGAGUUGCGUAGGUGGUUUGUUAAGUGAAUAGUGAAAUCUGGUGGCUCAACCAUACAGACUAUUAUUCAAACUGGCAAACUCGAGAAUAGCAGAGGUAACUGGAAUUUCUAGUGUAGGAGUGAAAUCCGUAGAUAUUAGAAGGAACACCAAUGGCGUAGGCAGGUUACUGGGCUAUUUCUGACACUGAGGCACGAAAGCGUGGGGAGCGAACCGGAUUAGAUACCCGGGUAGUCCACGCCGUAAACGAUGGAUACUAGCUGUUGGAGGUAUCGACCCCUUCAGUAGCGAAGCUAACGCGUUAAGUAUCCCGCCUGUGGAGUACGGUCGCAAGACUAAAACAUAAAGGAAUUGACGGGGACCCGCACAAGCGGUGGAGCGUGUUCUUUAAUUCGACGAUAAACGA